Molecule: ribosomal RNA, 465 nt
Filed under: Vreelandella stevensii
Lineage: Bacteria; Pseudomonadati; Pseudomonadota; Gammaproteobacteria; Oceanospirillales; Halomonadaceae
Description: partial 16S ribosomal RNA
Rfam family: Bacterial small subunit ribosomal RNA
Source: RNAcentral
CCUACGGGGUGCAGCAGUGGGGAAUAUUGGACAAUGGGCGAAAGCCUGAUCCAGCCAUGCCGCGUGUGUGAAGAAGGCCUUCGGGUUGUAAAGCACUUUCAGUGGGGAAGAAAGCCUUGGGGCUAAUACCCUCGAGGAAGGACAUCACCCACAGAAGAAGCACCGGCUAACUCCGUGCCAGCAGCCGCGGUAAUACGGAGGGUGCGAGCGUUAAUCGGAAUUACUGGGCGUAAAGCGCGCGUAGGCGGUCUGAUAAGCCGGUUGUGAAAGCCCCGGGCUCAACCUGGGAACGGCAUCCGGAACUGUCAGGCUAGAGUGCAGGAGAGGAAGGUAGAAUUCCCGGUGUAGCGGUGAAAUGCGUAGCGAUCGGGAGGAAUACCAGUGGCGAAGGCGGCCUUCUGGACUGACACUGACGCUGAGGUGCGAAAGCGUGGGUAGCAAACAGGAUUAGAUACCCCGGUAGUC